GUUUUUGCAGGUUUUUCAUCAUCUCUAAUGGCGGGUCGCGAGGUACACGUGGCUCUCAACCUACUGCAAUUGAGGUAGAUCCUGACUUUCCUCAUAUAAUUUUCAAGGAUGAGGCUCAAAAGGCUUGGUACGAUCGCACAGGCGGGUCCCCACCCCAGUUGGUACACCUGGAACCCCGCCUAUGGUGGAGCUGGAGGGAGUGGCACAGGCACCGGUACUCAGGAUCCUGCUGCUGAUGAUUCUGAUUCCGAUUCUAUGGCCGACUGAGGGCCGUGUUCCUUGCCUUCUCCUUGUUGCAAUGCGGACAUUGCCAAGUUCAGCUUGGGGGAGGAUCUUCACUGCACAUAUGGUAUCUUCUAUCACUUCUUAGGUAGUUUACAGCUUUUGUAGUUCAGUUUAGCAUAGUUUUCUUUGUGUGUUUGGUGUGUUUUGUGUGUU
Long non-coding RNA from Beta vulgaris subsp. vulgaris (sugar beet), 438 nucleotides. RefSeq lists it as uncharacterized. The record is from RefSeq and is a predicted model, not a curated record. Lineage: Eukaryota; Viridiplantae; Streptophyta; Magnoliopsida; Caryophyllales; Amaranthaceae. The transcript is spliced from 2 exons.